RNAcentral lists this ribosomal RNA (506 nucleotides) under uncultured bacterium. Its description in RNAcentral is "partial 16S ribosomal RNA". It matches the Rfam family "Bacterial small subunit ribosomal RNA", at positions 30 to 523 of the family's 1533-position model. The record is from RNAcentral.
ACUGAACGCUGGCGGCAGGCCUAACACAUGCAAGUCGAACGGUAACAGGAAACAGCUUGCUGUUUCGCUGACGAGUGGCGGACGGGUGAGUAAUGUCUGGGAAACUGCCUGAUGGAGGGGGAUAACUACUGGAAACGGUAGCUAAUACCGCAUAACGUCGCAAGACCAAAGAGGGGGACCUUCGGGCCUCUUGCCAUCGGAUGUGCCCAGAUGGGAUUAGCUAGUAGGUGGGGUAACGGCUCACCUAGGCGACGAUCCCUAGCUGGUCUGGGAGGAUGACCAGCCACACUGGAACUGAGACACGGGCCAGACUCCUACGGGAGGCAGCAGUGGGGAAUAUUGCACAAUGGGCGCAAGCCUGAUGCAGCCAUGCCGCGUGUAUGAAGAAGGCCUUCGGGUUGUAAAGUACUUUCAGCGGGGAGGAAGGGAGUAAAGUUAAUACCUUUGCUCAUUGACGUUACCCGCAGAAGAAGCACCGGCUAACUACGUGCCAGCAGCCGCGGUAA